Molecule: ribosomal RNA, 379 nt
Filed under: uncultured bacterium
Lineage: Bacteria
Description: bacterial SSU rRNA
Rfam family: Bacterial small subunit ribosomal RNA
Source: RNAcentral
AUUGAACGCUGGCGGAAUGCUUUACACAUGCAAGUCGAACGGUAGAGGGGGCAACCCCUUGAGAGUGGCGAACGGGUGAGUAAUAUAUCGGAACGUGCCCAGUCGUGGGGAGUAACGUAGCGAAAGUUACGCUAAUACCGCAUACGAUCUAAGGAUGAAAGCGGGGGAGUCGCAAGACCUCGCGCGAUUGGAGCGGCCGAUAUCAGAUUAGGUAGUUGGUGAGGUAAAGGCUCACCAAGCCAACGAUCUGUAGCUGGUCUGAGAGGACGACCAGCCACACUGGAACUGAGACACGGUCCAGACUCCUACGGGAGGCAGCAGUGGGGAAUUUUGGACAAUGGGCGCAAGCCUGAUCCAGCAAUGCCGCGUGCAGGAUGAA